AUUGAACGCUGGCGGCAUGCUUUACACAUGCAAGUCGAACGGUAACAGGCCGCAAGGUGCUGACGAGUGGCGCACGGGUGAGUAAUGCAUCGGAACGUGCCCAGUCGUGGGGGAUAACUACUCGAAAGAGUAGCUAAUACCGCAUACGAUCUAUGGAUGAAAGCGGGGGACCGUAAGGCCUCGCGCGAUUGGAGCGGCCGAUGUCCGAUUAGGUAGUUGGUGGGGUAAAGGCUCACCAAGCCGACGAUUGGUAGCUGGACUGAGAGGACGACCGGCCACACUGGGACUGAGACACGGCCCAGACUCCUACGGGAGGCAGCAGUGGGGAAUGGUGGACAAUGGGCGCAAGCCUGAUCCAGCAAGGCCGCGUGCAGGAAGAAGGCCUUCGGGUUGUAAACUGCUUUUGUACGGAACGAAACGGCUCUGGUUAAGACCCGGGGCUAAUGACGGUACCGUAAGAAUAAGCACCGGCUAACUACGUG
RNAcentral lists this ribosomal RNA (482 nucleotides) under uncultured bacterium. Its description in RNAcentral is "partial 16S ribosomal RNA". It matches the Rfam family "Bacterial small subunit ribosomal RNA", at positions 29 to 507 of the family's 1533-position model. The record is from RNAcentral.